GCAUAUCAAUAAGCGGAGGAAAAGAAACCAACAGGGAUUGCCUCAGUAACGGCGAGUGAAGCGGCAACAGCUCAGAUUUGAAAUCUGGCCCUUUCAGGGUCCGAGUUGUAAUCUGUAGAGGAUGCUUCGGCGUCGGCCCCGGUCUAAGUUCCUUGGAACAGGACGUCACAGAGGGUGAGAAUCCCGUACGUGACCGGUGGCCUAGCCGUGUGAAGCUCCUUCGACGAGUCGAGUUGUUUGGGAAUGCAGCUCUAAAUGGGAGGUAAAUUUCUUCUAAAGCUAAAUAUUGGCCAGAGACCGAUAGCGCACAAGUAGAGUGAUCGAAAGAUGAAAAGCACUUUGGAAAGAGAGUUAAAAAGCACGUGAAAUUGUUGAAAGGGAAGCGCUUGCAACCAGACUUGCCCGCAGUCGCUCAACCGGUCUCUCGGCCGGUGCACUCUUCUGCGGUCAGGCCAGCAUCAGUUCGGGCGGUCGGAUAAAGGCCCCGGGAAUGUGGCCCCCUUCGGGGGGUGUUAUAGCCCGGGGUGGAAUGCGGCCUGCCUGGACUGAGGUCCGCGCUUCGGCUAGGAUGCUGGCGUAAUGGUUGUAAGCGGCCCGUCUUGAAACACGGACCAAGGAGUCUAACAUCUAUGCGAGUGUUUGGGUGUCAAACCCGUGCGCGUAAUGAAAGUGAACGGAGGUGGGAACCCGUUAGGGUGCACCAUCGACCGAUCCUGAUGUCUUCGGAUGGAUUUGAGUAAGAGCAUAGCUGUUGGGACCCGAAAGAUGGUGAACUAUGCCUGAAUAGGGUGAAGCCAGAGGAAACUCUGGUGGAGGCUCGCAGCGGUUCUGACGUGCAAAUCGAUCGUCAAAUUUGGGUAUAGGGGCGAAAGACUAAUCGAACCAUCUAGUAGCUG
RNAcentral lists this ribosomal RNA (896 nucleotides) under Spissiomyces sp. SDBR-CMU319. Its description in RNAcentral is "LSU rRNA". It matches the Rfam family "Eukaryotic large subunit ribosomal RNA", at positions 38 to 953 of the family's 3401-position model. The record is from RNAcentral. Lineage: Eukaryota; Fungi; Ascomycota; Dothideomycetes.